CCCUGGAAGAAGGGGACCCUCCGCUGCUCAAGGAUGUAGAGAGCUGGGGGCCACACACGGACACAGGCAGCGCGUUAGGAGAGGGAGCCCGCGGGAGCCCCCGCCCCCAGCCGGAAUCCCGCCCCCAGCCGCAGUCACCGUCUUCCUCCGUGGUCCCCAGGGCGAGCAGGGACGCGCACAGUGGGCAGUGGCCGAAUCUCUCUCCUGCUGGUUCUGAGUGAGGAACAUGGUAAGGGCACAGAAUGGGACCUGCUGCAGCUGCAAGAAGAGGAUGCGUCAGCGACAUGGACAGGCCUUGGCUCCCUUCGGAGGAUCCUCUUCCUGCCCUGCCCGACAGCCACUGUCCCUUGGCUUGGUCUCUUCUGCAGGCACGGGGUGGCAGGAGACACCCAGGCUGCCCAUGCCUAUGACCCCAAGGAUGCCUGAACCACUGGGACUCACCAGGGCGUGAGGCGGCCCAGGCGCGUCCAUGGGCUCCGGCUGAUGAGAAAUCCAGCCGCGGGGUCAGCCGCAGCCCCGG
Molecule: long non-coding RNA, 520 nt
Organism: Dromiciops gliroides (monito del monte)
Lineage: Eukaryota; Metazoa; Chordata; Mammalia; Microbiotheria; Microbiotheriidae
Exons: 3
Source: RefSeq, a predicted model, not a curated record